RNAcentral lists this ribosomal RNA (479 nucleotides) under uncultured bacterium. Its description in RNAcentral is "partial 16S ribosomal RNA". It matches the Rfam family "Bacterial small subunit ribosomal RNA", at positions 28 to 507 of the family's 1533-position model. The record is from RNAcentral.
GAUGAACGCUAGCGGGAGGCCUAACACAUGCAAGCCGAGCGGUAUUGUUUCUUCGGAAUUGAGAGAGCGGCGUACGGGUGCGUAACACGUGUGCAACCUGCCUUUAUUUGGGGGAUAGCCUUUCUAAAGGAAGUUUAAUACUCCAUAAUAUAUUGAACGGCAUCGUUUAAUAUUGAAAGCUCCGGCGGAUAGAGAUGGGCACGCGCAAGAUUAGCUAGUUGGUGAGGUAACGGCUGACCAAGGCGAUGAUCUUUAGGGGGCCUGAGAGGGUGAUCCCCCACACGGGGACUGAGACAAGGAGCAGACUCCUACGGGAGGCAGCAGUGAGGAAGAUUGGUCAAUGGGUGCAAGCCUGAACCAGCCAUCCCGCGUGAAGGAAGACUGCCCUAUGGGUUGUAAACUUCUUUUGUAUAGGGAUAAACCUACCCUCGGGAGCGUAGCUGAAGGUACUAGACGAAUAAGCACCGGCUAACUCCGUG